RNA transcript from Felis catus (domestic cat), 5306 nucleotides. It is a transcript of the gene named phosphatidylinositol-5-phosphate 4-kinase type 2 beta, with no coding region annotated. The transcript has 11 exons. NCBI's taxonomy places the organism in Eukaryota, Metazoa, Chordata, Mammalia, Carnivora, Felidae. The record is from RefSeq and is a predicted model, not a curated record.
ACGGGCGCUACCAUGGCGCGGUGAGGGAGCGGGGGUGGGGAUCGGUCCCGGGGAGGCCUGGGGCCGCUGGCUUGUGCGCCGUCUCGGCCGCCCCCCCUUUUGCCGCCGCCGCCGCCGCCGCCCCGGGCAUGUCGUCCAACUGCACCAGCACCACGGCGGUGGCGGUGGCGCCGCUCAGCGCCAGCAAGACCAAGACCAAAAAGAAGCAUUUCGUGUGCCAGAAAGUGAAGCUAUUCCGGGCCAGCGAGCCGAUCCUCAGCGUCCUGAUGUGGGGGGUGAACCACACGAUCAAUGAGCUGAGCAAUGUCCCCGUCCCUGUCAUGCUAAUGCCAGAUGACUUCAAAGCAUACAGCAAGAUCAAGGUGGACAAUCAUCUCUUCAAUAAGGAGAACCUUCCCAGCCGUUUUAAGUUUAAGGAGUACUGCCCCAUGGUGUUCCGGAAUCUCCGGGAGAGGUUUGGGAUUGAUGAUCAGGAUUACCAGAAUUCGGUGACGCGCAGCGCCCCUAUCAACAGUGACAGCCAGGGCCGAUGUGGCACACGUUUCCUCACCACCUACGACCGGCGCUUUGUCAUCAAGACCGUGUCAAGUGAGGAUGUGGCCGAGAUGCACAACAUCUUAAAGAAAUACCACCAGUUCAUCGUGGAGUGUCACGGCAACACCCUUUUGCCGCAGUUCCUGGGCAUGUACCGCUUGACCGUGGAUGGCGUGGAGACCUACAUGGUGGUCACCAGGAACGUGUUCAGCCAUCGGCUCACUGUGCACCGCAAGUAUGACCUCAAGGGCUCCACUGUUGCCAGAGAAGCGAGCGACAAGGAGAAGGCCAAGGACUUGCCGACAUUCAAAGACAAUGACUUCCUCAAUGAGGGGCAGAAGCUGCAUGUGGGAGAGGAGAGUAAAAAGAACUUCCUGGAAAAACUGAAACGGGACGUGGAGUUCCUGGCCCAGCUGAAGAUCAUGGACUACAGCCUGCUGGUGGGCAUCCACGACGUGGACCGGGCGGAGCAGGAGGAGAUGGAGGUGGAGGAGCGGGCAGAGGACGAGGAGUGCGAGAAUGACGGGCCGGGCGGCAACCUGCUGUGCUCCUACGGCACGCCUCCGGACAGCCCCGGCAACCUCCUCAGCUUCCCCCGCUUCUUUGGUCCUGGGGAGUUCGACCCCUCUGUCGACGUCUAUGCCAUGAAAAGCCAUGAAAGUGCCCCCAAGAAAGAGGUCUAUUUCAUGGCCAUCAUCGACAUCCUCACGCCGUAUGAUGCUAAGAAGAAAGCCGCGCACGCUGCCAAAACAGUGAAGCACGGGGCGGGGGCCGAGAUCUCGACUGUGAACCCUGAGCAGUACUCCAAACGCUUCAACGAGUUCAUGUCCAACAUCCUGACGUAGUUACCUUCUACCUUCAGCCAGAGCCGGAGAGCCGGAUGUGGGGUCGGGCCAGAAAAGGGAGAGGGUGUAUUUGGGCUAGAUGGGAGGGUGGGGAGCGUGGGGAGCAGUGUAGGGGGAGGGGAGGGCUUCAGUGAUGAGACUGCAGCCUGUGACAUUGAAAGACUCUAGCUGGGGAGGAGGGGAUGUGCUGUGUGAGCACGUACCCACAGGGUGUAGCCUUGAUCUUUCCCCCAUUUGACCCAGGUUGAAAAGGGGUUUCCUUUUUGUUCCCUUGUAACCUUUUUAACAAUACGUUGGGGCUAGAGAUGACUUUGUGGGUUUAUGUGGGUUUUGUUUCUGAAAUCUCAUUGCUCCAGGUUUGCUAUUUAUAAUGAUGUGUGUCAUCACCCCAUCACCCUCCCCAUCCCUGCCCUGCUCUCGGUUCCCUUCAGUGAAAGAGGCACCCCCAUGGACCCGGCCAAGGGGCCUCUCAGGGCCAAGUGCUCUGAUGGCAGAGGAGAGGUCAGACACUUCAGUCCUGCUGCAUUUGAUCUUGUCUGGAUUAACUUUUUCAUUUUAUGGAGUAUUGUGCACAAACUUCCUCCACCUUUUCACCUUGGAUCCAAGUGAAAUGGUACCUGAUUCCUCCAUCUAAAUGCUGUCCUCCAAAUCAACAGCAGGCAUCUUGGAUCAGAAUCAGAGAUCUCACAGGGGCGUGAGUUCAUCCUCAUGGGAUGGUGAGGGGUGGGGGUAGCGGCUGGGCUCUUGGACAGCUGGUUCUCACAGAACCCUGCGAUCAUCACCCACGCCUCUGAGCUCCUUUGGCUGCUGGAGUUCAGAUGUCCUCUGUCUAAAGCCUGCCUCCCGUUGGUCAAGAGGAACUAGAAAGCAUCUUUAGGUACAGCAGGAGCCUUCAUGCUUCGAUGGUUAUUUCCCCUUGGGAAACCCCCAGAACCUGAUGAGUAUCCAGUGAGGCCUUGUGCCCUCCAUCCAUUGACUUCCUCCUGACCUUCUCCCACGCACCCUCCCUUGUAGUUGAGCUUUUAGCUGGGGGAGACCUCCACGUGCCUGGGAUGCUCCUUGCAGAGAGGCCUCCUCAAGCCCCAGGGCCACCAUGUAGAUAAUCUGAUGCCCUGUGCCUGUGGUCUGUCCCCCUGGACAGUUCUGGCCAUCAGGGAGUGCUGCCCCCCACCGUGGAGUGUGGCACCCAAGCCUGAGCUUGCCGCGGAGUCACUUGAAGAUGUGACCCAGGAAAUCCAAUGUGGAGGCCUGAAACGAGAUUCGACCUGGCCCAGCUUUGGGGCUGUUUUCCUUGAUGCCCCCGUCUUAACUUUGAGCAGAUCUGCCACCCCAGGGGUGCUUCGGGAGUGGCUUCCUGCAGCUUCGUGCAGGGUCCCCACCCACCUGCUGAGCUACCCAGGCCUCAGAACUGAGCCGGGUGUCAUUCUGUGAUGCCAUCAGAGCAGUCUGGUCUGGCUCAGAGAGAACAGCCCCGUGUUGGGGGAGGUACAUUCCUGCCCCUUCGCACCCCCUCACCCGGAACUGGGGAUUUGGGAUGAUCUAUGGCAAAACUUUUGUAGAUAACCCCACAGGUGCGAUGAAAGUUUAUGGAAACAUUUCAAAUGGAUGGAUUGGUUUCCUGCGGCUCCCUCCAAACCUGGCCAAGUUCAGCUUCUGGAGCAGGAACCACCGCCUCCGUGCCCUACCUGCAGCGUUUAGGUGAGGGGAGAAUGGAGGCAGCACUCUUGGACUCCAGUGAGGCUGCUGGAACUGUUCUGGAAGAGGCAAAUAGGUCAGACAACCGCCCCCCGGCCCAGGAAGGGGCCGUAGGCAGCUCUGAAUGAUCAGCAGCAGCAAGGCCAUGUAGUGACUUGGGGAAGAACUUGGAACCAAGUGGCUCACGGAGAAAACAGAUCUGACUUAGGACGGGAUUACGUAGGAACGAUGUUUGGACUUGAUUUCCCCACCUCCUAAUCAAGAAUGGAAAUUUGGAUCUGUCCCUCGGGAGGCCCGCAUCUUCCGAGCUUGGCGGGCUGUCCUCCAGCAGAGGCCACAGCCUUGGGCUCCCACCGGCUUCCUGCGUUUGGUCUGCUGAUUAUGUUGCCAUCAUGUGUGUGAAAAGUGUAACACAAUCCAUCGGUUAAAAAUGAGCUACCAGUAUUGUUGUUUGGAUCAAAACAUUUGAGCUGUGGUCGGGUGGACUUUAGAAUUUUUUAAAAGGUCAUUCUCUGUGCUAUCUUCAAAACCUUGGGUUUGGCCCUCUAAUUCCUUUGGCAUUCAAAUGUUUAAAAGCUAUUUAUCUUGGUUUAUGCCAGUUUUCUUUCUCUUCUUUCUGUAAUGAUGCCGAUGUGUUUGGUUUGUGGUCUGAAUGUGGAGAAAGUGAACUGAUGGCCAAGCCUUUGUCUGCCCCCACUCCUUUCUCAGAGCCCCACCUUCCCGCUCUCCCUGCAGAAGGCAUCCAAGAGCAAAGGACUACCCUCAGCCUUCCUCUCUGGAGCCCUGAAGAAAAGCUCAGCUGUCCCACGGCACCCUAGAAUAAUUGGGGGGUCUCCUAAGAACCAGGUGUAAGGAUAGGACGUGACGGACUGGGUGAAGCCCGGGAUGGGGGUCAGGGCAGGAUUCCUCUCCAUUCCCCCCACCUUGACCACCUAGCCAGUCGUAGCUUCACCCGUCCCGAGAGUCUGGGGCUGAGAAACCCAGGCUGGUCCUCUGAAGACUCCGCGUAGACCACUAGAUGAAGGCCUCUGGCCCUUGUUCCUAUUAGUGAACCACUGAGUCUUUGUCCCCCCCACCCCCCCACCCCAGUGCAAGCUCCUUCCCUGUGCCCUGCGGUUUGGGGGUACAGGGCGGGCUGGGAAGCCAGCAGUUCCGGUUCCGGGAGCAGACUGAAGCAGCGCUCCAUCUCUCCUUAUCUAGCUCAGGGGUUACUGGUCUGUGGCGGGUGCCACGAGUCGCCCCCGUGGCUGUUCUCAGUGGCACCUUCUAAGUUCCCACCACAGGCAGCUCUCCCUCCCCUCUCCCUACUCCUACUGUUUCUCUCGCCUGUGCUUUAGGCCUCAAACAGGUCCCCUGGUAGCGCUCAGGGCUUGGGACUAGACUCCUGCCCUAGUUGACUUUCCCUCUUCAGUCUGCCAGGGUCUGCCCUGGGGAGGUGGGCCAAAGACACAGGACUUCUCUCAGUAGCCAAUCCCCACCCCCCCAAUUGUCUUACCAAUUCAAGUUGGGAGGGAAAAAAAACUUCAGCACUCCCUAGCAUCUGAGCUACUCGAGUGUUAGGGGCCAGAAGGGACAGUGUGUUUAAAUGGCCCUUACAGCUCUGGCCUUAUAUGGCUCCCCCGAGUCUAGGGACCUCACUUCUUUCUGGCAGAAAUGGGGGGGCGGGGGUCCAGCCUGAGCACAGAAAUCAAAGGGAAAACACAUCCGAACAACUGCCCCCAGACCUACCAGCCACCUGCGGGGGCAGUGACUGCCUAGCUUUCCUCUGAGAUGCGCCGCGUACGAAGAGUGCCUCCAGAGGGAAGGGGAGACUCAGCUGUCCCCAGCGAGUUGUGCCGAGAUCCUUCAGAGGCUGGGGAGGAAACUUCCAGAGGAGUUCCUUCCCCCUCGCUCAGAGCUAUUUUGUGAGUUGUGAACCAACAAACAGCCUUUAGGGGGAGGCCGGUGCCGCUCAGCACACCUCAACAUCAGGUCAAAUCAUUGUAAUCAAAAAAUGUGAAUGAAGCUGAGAUUCAGCUUUUGGGGGAGCAGGAUAAAUACGACCCCUUCACGUGUGUGUCACUUCUCGGUUCUCACCGCACUCUCCAUUUUUUAAAUAGGAAUUUUCAACCCCUUGUGCUUGUCUAAUGUCUGCUCGGAACAGUUCGAGACACUGUUACUGUUUAAAAAUGCAUGCAUGUGAAGAUGAAUCUCCAACCCAAGGAACAAAUAAAACUCAAAAAACUUUGUGUA